UACCAGCACCCCGAGUGGUCGGGACGUUUAUUGGGCCUAAAGCAUCCGUAGCCGGUUCUACAAGUCUUCCGUUAAAUCCAUCUGCUUAACAGAUGGGCUGCGGAAGAUACUAUAGAGCUAGGAGGCGGGAGAGGCGAGCGGUACUCGAUGGGUAGGGGUAAAAUCCGUUGAUCCAUUGAGGACCACCAGUGGCGAAGGCGGCUUGCCAGAACGCGCUCGACGGUGAGGGAUGAAAGCUGGGGGAGCAAACCGG
This 253-nucleotide ribosomal RNA is filed under the name uncultured bacterium. Its description in RNAcentral is "partial 16S ribosomal RNA". It matches the Rfam family "Archaeal small subunit ribosomal RNA", at positions 474 to 727 of the family's 1478-position model. The record is from RNAcentral.